AAUAGGUUGUAUGGGUCUAUUCCUUCCUGCUUCAAUUCUUCAUCAUUGCUCUUUCUGUUUUUACAAAAGAACAAUCUAAGUGGACCCAUACCCCAUGAGCUUCUUAGAAGUCCUAAUUUAGUGGCACUUGAUCUGAGGGAUAACAAUUUUUCUGGAAAUAUUCCAUCUUGGAUCGGUCAGUUCUCUGAAUUGCAAGUGCUUUCAUGGGGAGGGAAUGCAUUACACGGCCGUAUUCCUAAUCAGUUGUGUGAAUUAAGAAAUGCGAAUAUAAUGGAUCUUUCACACAACUUACUUUUUGGUUCCGUACCUGCAUGCUUUAGUAACAUUUCUUUUGGCAAUAAUAUAUCAUUUGGGAUGAUGGAAGUAUUUGAUAAAAUCGCUCCUAAUCUCUAUUUGCCAUGGGUAGAUUGGGAUUCUUCAGAAAUUGUGGAAGUGGAAUUUGCAACGAAAUAUAGAUACAACUCCUACAAGGGUGAUAUUAUCAACUCAAUGGCAGGAAUAGAUCUAUCAUGCAAUGAGUUAAGUGGCAGCAUUCCUCAAGAAAUUGGAGACCUGCAUCAAAUUCGAUCAUUGAAUUUGUCUCACAAUCAUAUAACAGGANNNNNNNNNNNNNNNNNNNNNNNNNNNNNNNNNNNNNNNNNNNNNNNNNNNNNNNNNNNNNNNNNNNNNNNNNNNNNNNNNNNNNNNNNNNNNNNNNNNNNNNNNNNNNNNNNNNNNNNNNNNNNNNNNNNNNNNNNNNNNNNNNNNNNNNNNNNNNUCAGGUAGGGUUCCUGAUGGAGCGCAAUUUGGAACUUUCGAUGAAAACAAUUACAGAGGUAAUCCUGGUCUCUGUGGAGAACGCAUUCAUAAGAGCUGCAAAAGUGAUGAAGCUCCACAAACACCGCCACCAUCUGCUGAUGUAGAAGAGGAAGAUGAAGGGGGUAUUGAUAUGGUGUGGUUCUACUGGAGUUUCAGUGGAGCCUAUGUCACAAUCCUAUUGGUGUUGGCAGCAAUCCUCCACAUCAACAGGCAUUGGCGCAUGUUGUGGUUUUAUUAUGUUGAUGUUUGUAUUUAUUCAAUUUCCAUGUGGGUUUGUCAGAACUGAUUUCAAGCAAUAGUCUGACAAAAAGACACAUUGUAAUACAACAUAUAUGUAUACAUUUGGUUUUAAUGUUGAUGUUGCCCUUAUUUUGCUUCUGGUAGAAUUCUGGUUUCUAAGGAUGUUGGUCUAGUGGAAAUGGAAGAACCUUAGGGCAAUAUGGAUACUGCUCUCUAGUGUUUAGGAAGGAAAAGAACUCUAGAUUGAUGCAAUUUUAAAGGACUGGUUCUUGGGUUUACUUUGCUGCAAGAAUGCUAGGGCCAUGAGGUGCUUUCAUGGCUUCUGAAUGACGGAGUGAGCAAAUAAAAAGGUCAGAAGAAUAUGGAAUGUAAGGGAAGAUUCAUUCGCUGUACCAGAUAUGUUAUUUCAAGCCGAAUAUCUUAUCUUUUAGCUCUAUUUUUUUUUAUAUUUAACUAUUGUUCUAAUUUUUGCAAAUCUUUAUUGUCGUUUGGAUAGUGUUGUUAAUACUUUGUGUUUCUUUGAGUUUGCUGUUGAUUUUCUAACAUGUACUCUAAAUGUUUCCUCUUAAUUUAUGCAACUUGAAAAACUUGGAAUUGCUUUUUCAAUGUAUUUGAUAGCAAUCUAAUUUUGUUAUUUUAUUUUUUUAAAAUUAUUUUAGAUGUAAUAAUUUUUUAAUUUCUAUAAAAUUAAAAUUAGUCAUAUUUAUGAAAAAAUUAAAUUAAUAUGUAUAAAUUAUUUUAAAUUUUAAUUUGUGUAAAAUUUUAAAAAGUCAUAUUUUAAAAAAAAUUAAAAUAAUGUGUAAAAUAUAUUUUAUUUUUUAAUUUUUAUAAAAUUAAAUUAGUCGCAUUUCUGAAAAUAAUUAAAAUAAUAUGUAAAAUUAUUUUAUUAUUUUAUUUUAUUUUUAAUUUCUAAAAAAAUUAAAAUUAAAAUUUUUAUUUUAAAAUUAAACUUUUUCAAAAAUUUAGAAGAUUUAAAAGUGUAUAAUUUAUAAAAUUAAUUAAAUAUUUUUUACUUCAUUAUUAUUAUUUGAAAUUUAAUAUGUAAAUUUAAUUAUUUUAUUUUCAUUUAAUUUUUUAUGAUACUUUAUGAUUUAUAUUUUUUAAUUGUACUUUUAUUAUAUUGAUAAAUUUACAGUUGAAACUUUGAUGAUUUUUAAUUGUAUUUCAUAAUUAAUAUACCAUUAACUAGUAAAUUGAUUUUAAUGGUUAAUAGAGUGUGAAAAUAAUAGAUGAUUUUCUUUUUUGAAAUGGAAAUUAAAGAGUAGAAUCUAAAACCUCUCAAAUUCACUUAAUGCACUUACCACUAAAUUGAAUUUAUAAGUGUAAAAUAAUAGAUAAUUUAAAUGAUUAAUCCUUAGUUAAUUAAUAAAAUAAUAUAUAGUUUGAAUUGAAUUGAAUUUAAUUACAAAACUAUCUGUAACUAUAUCCAAAUUUGAUCCAAAUCAAUCCAUUUAAUUUUUCUGCUAUUUGUUCAGAAUUAAGGAAUUUAAGGAGUUUAGAAUUCUUGAAUGUUAGUAUUAACAGUUUCAAUAACACCAAUCAUUUCAAAGUAAACAGUAAAUUCUUUUGUGUGAUUUAUCUUUUCAUUUUUAAAUUGAUUAUUUUUAUAAAAAUUAAAUGGAUCUGUCAAAUGUUUUUAUGUAUGAUUUUACAAAAAAAUCAUGUAUAAAUCUAAAACUUUCUCAUCAUUUCAAGUAAUUAUUUUUAAGAUUUAAUUAUAUAGAUUGUGUAUAUCAUAAAAAUUUCAUAUUUUAUGUUAAAUAUGAUAUAUCAUUUAAAUAAAAUAUUAAGAUAAAUAAAAUAUGACUCAUAAUUUUUAUUAAAUUGUUUAUGAAUAAAAUAAGUCCCUAUCUACAAAAUUGAAAAUAAUGGAAAGACAAUUAUUAAUAUAUAAAAGAAAUUAAAUAAUAUAAUAUUUAUUAAAAAAUUUUAUGUACAGUUAAAGAGCUGGAGAAUUGACCAAACAUUACCACAAAAAAUUUAUAACUCUAAAUUUAAAAAAUAUAUUAUUAUUUAUCUAACCUACUUAAAAGUGAAAUUAAAAUAAUAUUUUGUUUUUUAAUUAUGAAUCAGGAAAGUAGAAUCUAAAAUCUCUCAAAUUUAAUAUAUUUACCACCAGACUAAACUUGUGAAUGCAGAAAAUAACAUUAAAAUCCUAAUUAAUAGAUAGCAAUACAUCUUUUAUAAUAUUUUAUCAAAAUAUAUUUUGAAAAUAGGAAAUAUAGGAUUAAUUUCAAUUUUAGAAUUUAUAUGUUUUAUAUGAUUAUUAUAAUUAGGUUAUUAAUUGUUAAUUAUACAAUUAUGUAAUAAUUUAAUUAUUGUGAGUAUACAUUUUUAUAGUCUAUAUACUACUUUAUACUAAAAUUAUAAAAUCAUUUUAAUUAUAUUUUUGAAUAAUUUAAAUAUGUACUAAAACUGACAUAAUUCUUUUAAAAAAAUUAAAAUGCACAAAUAUAUAUUUCGCUAUGCUGUCUAUAUAUUUUAAAUGCACAAACAUUUAAAAUAUAUAUUUCGCUAUGCUGUAUAACAUUUAAAAAAAUUUUAUGUACACUUUUAUGGAAAUAGAUUCAAUAAAAGCAUAUUAUUAUCAUUAGAAGCUCCUUAGUACCAUGUUAAAUUCAAUGGAAGGUUCAUUUGGUUUGAUUAAUCUUGAAUUUACUUUCCUUACCUUCAUUUUAUCACAAUUUAUAAUUAAAAAUUAUAAUUAAAUAUUAUUUUUUUAUUAAUAUUACUUAUAAAACUCGAGAUUUAUUAGAAUAAUUAUAUUUAAAAUAAAUUAAUUAAAUAAUUUUAAUGAAUUAAAAUUAUAAUAUAAUUAUGAUUAUAUACUAUUUAGUGCUAUUAUUUUGUACAUUUUUUUUAAAAAUUAAGAUAGUUGUAGAGUUUUAUGAUCACAUUAUAAAUUUUUUAAAAUCAAAUUUUAUGUAUAUGGUUUAAAAAAUGAGCUUCGUUAAUAUAUAUAUAGAGCACUCAUAAAUAGAUAUAUAAAAAAAUACUUAUUUAUAUUCAGUUAGGUCAGUUAAUAAUAGCAUAAUUAAAUAUAAUAUAAUAACAUUUUGAAUGAUAUCAUACACAAAAUAAUAGUUAAAUACAUUUUGGACACUAAUUAAAUUCUAAAUUUUUCUUAAAAAUUUUUUUCAUUUGAUUAAUAUUUUUCUAUCUUAGGAUUAUGCGGACUGAAAAGUUUGGUCGAGUUGCAUCUCCAAGGAAAUCAUUUUUCUGGCCCUCUUCCAGAAUGUAUUGGCAACUUGACCAACCUCCAAUUUCUUGAUCUGUCAUUCAAUCAGUUGAGUGGAAACAUUCAAUCUAUUGUUUCUGAACUCACAUCCCUCAAGUAUUUGUUUCUUCAUGGCAAUGAGUUUGAAGGCUCAUUCUCAUUUAGCGCUUUGGCCAACCACUCAAAACUUGAAGCAUUUAUACUCUCUCCUGGAAAUAGCAGGCUAGAAGUGGAAACAGAAAAUCCAACAUGGUUUCCCGCAUUUCAACUCAAGUACAUUCGAUUAUCAAAUUGCAGCUUAAACGUGAGAACUAGAGCUAUUCCUAGCUUUCUUCAUUACCAGUAUGACAUACGCUUUAUUGAUCUUUCUCAUAAUACGUUGGUUGGAACGUUCCCCACUUGGAUCUUACAAAAUAAUUCCAAGUUAGUAGUUAUGAAUUUGAGAAACAACUCAUUCACAGGAACAUUUCAGCUGCCCAAUUUCAAGCAUGAUCUCGUUCAGUUAGAUAUUUCGAGCAAUAAUCUCACUGGUAUGCUGCCGAAGGAGUUUGGAGAGGUCCUCCCAAGACUGGAAUAUAUAAACAUGUCGAGGAAUAAUUUCGGUGGUAAUGUUCCUUCUUCAAUCAGUGAGACGACAUCACUAUCUAUUUUGGAUUUAUCCCAUAAUAAUUUCUCGGGAGAAUUGCCAAGAAGUCUGUUCGCAAAUUGUACCAUGAAUUGUGCACUGAUUCUAUCAAACAACAAUUUUCAAGGGAACGUUUUUCCUCAGGGUAUGAACUUGAGAAGCAUGACGGCAUUGGAUAUGAAAAACAACAACUUCAGUGCGAUGAAUAGCCGCAGCCGAUCAAGCCUCAGUUUUUUUGACAUAUCCAAUAACAAGGUAUCCGGUCCAAUUCCCAGACUUCUAUGUAAUCUGACCUAUCUUGUCUUUUUAGAUCUCUCAAAAAAUAGGUUGUAUGGAUUUAUGCCUUCCUGCUUCGAUUCUUCAUUAUUGCGCUUUCUGUUUUUACAAAAGAACAAUCUAAGUGGACCCAUACCCCAUGAGCUUCUCAGAAGUCCUAAUUUAGGGGCACUUGAUCUGAGGGAUAACAAUUUUUCUGGAAAUAUUCCAUCUUGGAUCGGUCAGUUCUCUGAAUUGCAUGUGCUUUCAUUGGGAGGGAAUGCAUUACACGGCCGUAUUCCUAAUCAGUUGUGUGAAUUAAGAAAUGCGAAUAUAAUGGAUCUUUCACGCAACUUACUUUUUGGUUCCGUACCUGCAUGCUUUAGUAACAUUUCUUUUGGCAAUAAUAUAUCAUUUGGGAUGAUGGAAG
This 5565-nucleotide long non-coding RNA is filed under the name Manihot esculenta (cassava). RNAcentral's name for it is "long non-coding RNA (MESC_LNC006433)". The record is from RNAcentral. Lineage: Eukaryota; Viridiplantae; Streptophyta; Magnoliopsida; Malpighiales; Euphorbiaceae.